This 310-nucleotide unclassified non-coding RNA is filed under the name plant metagenome. Its description in RNAcentral is "partial contains 5.8S ribosomal RNA, internal transcribed spacer 2, and large subunit ribosomal RNA". The stretch from base 1 to 105 matches the Rfam family "5.8S ribosomal RNA", at positions 50 to 154 of the family's 154-position model. The record is from RNAcentral.
GAAAUGCGAUAAGUAGUGUGAAUUGCAGAAUUCAGUGAAUCAUCGAAUCUUUGAACGCACAUUGCGCCCCUUGGUAUUCCAUGGGGCAUGCCUGUUCGAGCGUCAUUUGUAACCUCAAGCUCUGCUUGGUGUUGGGUGUUUGUCCCCGUCUCCGCGCGUGGACUCGCCCCAAAGUGAUUGGCAGCCGGCGUACUGGUCCCGGAGCGCAGCACAUGUCGCGCAAACGAGUGCCUUGGUACGGCGGCGUCCAUAAGCCCCUCUCUCACGCUCUUGACCUCGGAUCAGGUAGGGAUACCCGCUGAACUUAAGC